UGGGGAAUUUUGGACAAUGGGCGAAAGCCUGAUCCAGCAAUGCCGCGUGUGUGAAGAAGGCCUUCGGGUUGUAAACCUCUUUUAGUAGGGAAGAAGCGAAAGUGACGGUACCUGCAGAAAAAGCACCGGCUAACUACGUGCCAGCAGCCGCGGUAAUACGUAGGGUGCGAGCGUUGUCCGGAAUUAUUGGGCGUAAAGAGCUCGUAGGCGGUCUGUCGCGUCUGCUGUGAAAACCCGAGGCUCAACCUCGGGCCUGCAGUGGGUACGGGCAGACUAGAGUGCGGUAGGGGAGAAUGGAAUUCCUGGUGUAGCGGUGGAAUGCGCAGAUAUCAGGAGGAACACCGAUGGCGAAGGCAGUUCUCUGGGCCGUAACUGACGCUGAGGAGCGAAAGCGUGGGGAGCGAACAGGAUUAGAUACCCUGGUAGUCCACGCCGUAAACGUUGGGCGCUAGAUGUGGGGACCAUUCCACGGUUUCCGUGUCGCAGCUAACGCAUUAAGCGCCCGCCUGGGGAGUACGGCCGCAAGGCUAAAACU
RNAcentral lists this ribosomal RNA (535 nucleotides) under uncultured bacterium. RNAcentral describes it as "partial 16S ribosomal RNA". It matches the Rfam family "Bacterial small subunit ribosomal RNA", at positions 355 to 901 of the family's 1533-position model. The record is from RNAcentral.